GUGGCCGUAGCUCAAUCGGUUAGAGCACCGGAUUGUGGUUCCGGGGGUUGCGGGUUCGAUUCCCGUCGGUCACC
Transfer RNA from Gemmatimonas aurantiaca T-27, 74 nucleotides. It matches the Rfam family "tRNA". Rfam says of the family: Transfer RNA (tRNA) molecules are approximately 80 nucleotides in length. Their secondary structure includes four short double-helical elements and three loops (D, anti-codon, and T loops). Further hydrogen bonds mediate the characteristic L-shaped molecular structure. tRNAs have two regions of fundamental functional importance: the anti-codon, which is responsible for specific mRNA codon recognition, and the 3' end, to which the tRNAs corresponding amino acid is attached (by aminoacyl-tRNA synthetases). tRNAs cope with the degeneracy of the genetic code in two manners: having more than one tRNA (with a specific anti-codon) for a particular amino acid; and 'wobble' base-pairing, i.e. permitting non-standard base-pairing at the 3rd anti-codon position. NCBI's taxonomy places the organism in Bacteria, Pseudomonadati, Gemmatimonadota, Gemmatimonadia, Gemmatimonadales, Gemmatimonadaceae. The record is from Rfam.